This 133-nucleotide small nucleolar RNA is filed under the name Chinchilla lanigera (long-tailed chinchilla). RNAcentral describes it as "Small nucleolar RNA SNORA71 (ENSCLAG00000018300.1)". It matches the Rfam family "Small nucleolar RNA SNORA71". From Rfam's summary of the family: The members of this family belong to the H/ACA class of snoRNAs which bind a number of proteins (including dyskerin, Gar1p and Nop10p) to form snoRNP complexes. This class of snoRNAs are thought to guide the sites of modification of uridines to pseudouridines by forming direct base pairing interactions with substrate RNAs. Lineage: Eukaryota; Metazoa; Chordata; Mammalia; Rodentia; Chinchillidae. The record is from Rfam by way of RNAcentral.
CCCUGCAUUCGUAAGUGAUCAGGGGGCACCCAUGUCCUGGUCAUUGGUGGUGCAGGCAGAGGAAAUGUGGAAAGAAUUGUCCUAUGUUUGGAAGGCUGCAUGCUUGCCUUCCAUUUCUAGGAGCUUUCCCACA